CUUGGGAUGUUGGGCUCCCUCAGAAGUGGAAGAUAGAGACAUGUGGAGAACGGCCAUAGAGCAAGGAAGUUAUAUCAGAGAGGCGGAAUUGGACUGGGAGGCCGCAAGCGUAUCUCUCUGUUGAAGGUGGAUCUCGGUAUUGAAGUGGGAGAGGAUGAUGUAGAGGACCUCCUUGAUGAUCCGCUGAUAUAGUCAAAGACUUGGCUCAGGCCAUCCUACAACUUGGCCAGUCUGUUGAUUCCAAGUAUCUACAGCAGCCGCUAGGCGAGACUGAUAAGGCACGGAAGGUGAGAGAA
This is a non-coding RNA of Penaeus vannamei (Pacific white shrimp), 296 nucleotides long. NCBI's taxonomy places the organism in Eukaryota, Metazoa, Arthropoda, Malacostraca, Decapoda, Penaeidae. The record is from RefSeq and is a predicted model, not a curated record.